UUGCAUGUAUAUGAAAGGGCUAAAACAAAUAGUAGGCUGCAGAGAGAUGCUACCGCUUGUGACUGAAGUGGAACCCUGUUGGGCCUCAGUCACCACAGAAACAGAGGAAGAGGAAGUUCUGAUAUAAGAAUAUAUCCUCAGUUCAGUCUGACACUCACACAGUUAGCAGCAAGACAACAUGGAGGUCAGAUUUCCCACCAUCAGACUCUUGCUGAAUGUUCUGUUGCUGCUGGUUAUAGUAGCUGAAAUCAGUGAUUCUCAAACACAUAAUUCAGGUUUUCCUGAAGUUGUUCCAAACAGACAGCAGUUCUUUCAAACAGAGCCUAUCACUAUCAGCUGUGAAGGGCUAAAUGGGCUGACUGGAUGGAGAGUGAUGAAAAAGAUAAAUGGAGAUGUUAGAACAUGUGCUUCAACCUGGGAAACAUCGAUUGGACCUUGCAAAAUUAUUGAUACAUAUCCAUCAACUGACAGUGGAGAAUACUGGUGUGAAAAUGGAGAAAUACAAAAAAGCAACUCUGUCAACAUCACUG
Long non-coding RNA from Oreochromis niloticus (Nile tilapia), 530 nucleotides. RefSeq lists it as uncharacterized. NCBI's taxonomy places the organism in Eukaryota, Metazoa, Chordata, Actinopteri, Cichliformes, Cichlidae. The record is from RefSeq and is a predicted model, not a curated record. The transcript has 3 exons.